Molecule: ribosomal RNA, 243 nt
Filed under: uncultured bacterium
Lineage: Bacteria
Description: partial 16S ribosomal RNA
Rfam family: Bacterial small subunit ribosomal RNA
Source: RNAcentral
AGGGUGCAAGCGUUAAUCGGAAUUACUGGGCGUAAAGGGUGCGCAGGCGGUUUGGCAAGAAGGAUGUGAAAUCCCGGGGCUUAACCUCGGAACUGCAUUCUUAACUGCCAGGCUAGAGUAUGUCAGAGGGGGGUAGAAUUCCGCGUGUAGCAGUGAAAUGCGUAGAGAUGCGGAGGAAUACCGAUGGCGAAGGCAGCCCCCUGGGAUAAUACUGACGCUCAGGCACGAAAGCGUGGGGAGCAA